This 245-nucleotide ribosomal RNA is filed under the name uncultured Stomatobaculum sp. RNAcentral describes it as "partial 16S ribosomal RNA". It matches the Rfam family "Bacterial small subunit ribosomal RNA", at positions 524 to 768 of the family's 1533-position model. Lineage: Bacteria; Bacillati; Bacillota; Clostridia; Lachnospirales; Lachnospiraceae. The record is from RNAcentral.
UACGUAGGGGGCAAGCGUUAUCCGGAUUUACUGGGUGUAAAGGGAGCGCAGACGGCGCAGCAAGUCUGAAGUGAAACUCCGGGGCUUAACCCCGGAACUGCUUUGGAAACUGUUGUGCUUGAGUAUCGGAGGGGCAGGCGGAAUUCCCAGUGUAGCGGUGAAAUGCGUAGAUAUUGGGAAGAACACCGGUGGCGAAGGCGGCCUGCUGGACGAUAACUGACGUUGAGGCUCGAAGGCGUGGGGAG